AUUCCAGCUCCAAUAGCGUAUAUUAAAGUUGUUGCAGUUAAAAAGCUCGUAGUUGGAUUUCUGGGAGGGUGCCAAUGUCCGUCGUCGUACGUGUUGCAGCGGCGCCCUUCCAUCCUUCUGUUAACGACUUUGGGCAUUCACUUGCCGGAGUCGGGCUCAGAUAUUUUACCUUGAGAAAAUUAGAGUGUUUCAGGCAGGCUAGGCCGGAAUACAUUAGCAUGGAAUAAUGGAAUAGGACUACGGUCUCUUUGUUGGUUUGAGGGACUGCAGUAAUGAUUAACAGGGACGGUUGGGGUUCUUCGUAUUCAAUUGUCAGAGGUGAAAUUCUUGGAUUUAUGGAAGACGAACUGCUGCGAAAGCGUCGAACAAGGACGUUCUCAUUG
This 383-nucleotide ribosomal RNA is filed under the name Strombidium sp. RNAcentral's name for it is "partial small subunit ribosomal RNA". It matches the Rfam family "Eukaryotic small subunit ribosomal RNA", at positions 582 to 975 of the family's 1831-position model. Lineage: Eukaryota; Ciliophora; Spirotrichea; Strombidiidae. The record is from RNAcentral.